GCAUAUCAAUAAGCGGAGGAAAAGAAACUAACAAGGAUUCCCCUAGUAACGGGCGAGUGAAGAGGGAAGAGCCCAAGUUUGAAAGCUGGCAUUUGUAUUCAGAUGUCUGCAUUGUAAACUCAAGAAGUGUUUUCUGCACCGGAUCAAAUUCAAGUCCCUUGGAAUAGGGCAUCAUAGAGGGUGAAAGUCCCGUGCUUGAUUUGAAACCCCCGGGGCUUUGUGAUACACUUUCCAAGAGUCGAGUUGUUUGGGAAUGCAGCUCAAAAUGGGUGGUAAAUGCCAUCUAAGGCUAAAUAUUGAGGAGAGACCGAUAGUGAACAAGUACCGUGAGGGAAAGAUGAAAAGAACUUUGGAAAGAGAGUUAAACAGUACGUGAAAUUGCCGGAAGGGAAGGGUAGGAAGUCAGACAUGCCUUUGCAGAUUCAGCCUUGUGCUUUAUUGGACUUGGUGCAUUUUUGUAUUGGCUUGCUAGCAUCGGUUUGUAUUGACAGAUAUAGGCUUAGGGAAUGUGGCUUAGCUUUCGGGCAAAGUGUUAUAGCCCUUUGCUGAGUAUGACAAUAUAGACCGAGGAUUGCAGCGCACCCAUUUUAGGGCGGGCCUUUCGGGGCACCUUUGCGCUUAGG
This 623-nucleotide ribosomal RNA is filed under the name Antherospora vindobonensis. RNAcentral's name for it is "LSU rRNA". It matches the Rfam family "Eukaryotic large subunit ribosomal RNA", at positions 38 to 617 of the family's 3401-position model. Lineage: Eukaryota; Fungi; Basidiomycota; Ustilaginomycetes; Urocystidales; Floromycetaceae. The record is from RNAcentral.